GCAUGAUAAAAAUGGUUUCAUGAGAAAAUAUAUAGAAGAAUAUAUACUACUAUAAGUUUGACAGAAACAACUAUUAAAGCAACUAAGAAGAUGAAUUUGUGAGCACACAAACACUAUCAUAUGCCUCAAAUUCCAAUAGUCUUUUUAAGUCAUCAACAAAUAACAUUAAACCUAUUAUUAGAGUUAAACAUUCAUUCCAUACUUAAAUCGAACUCUCAAAGAGCAACAACACAACAGUAAUACUAGCAAAUCAUAAGAAACAAAACGUGAAGAAUAAAAUAGAGCCACCGAGAAAAUAAAACCAUACAAACUCAAAGAACAAAAACUUUAACCUCAAACUACAACAAAACAUAAAAUUAAAAGAUAAGCAUACCACCUUACAUGAAAGUGUCUGACCGACAAAAAUGUUUAUUGGACGGAGACUAAGAGGUUGUCAUUCAGUGAUGCAAGAUCUUGAUGAAGGUGGUGCAAACUCUGUGCGAGGAGAUGGUUGUUAUCGUUGUUGAACGAAUCGAAAAUGAGCGACGAAGUUGAAUCUGACGAGAGAGUGAGGUUAUGGUGUUAUGCGGUGGUGUAAGGUCAGAGUUGAUGAAAAGUGGUAGUAUUAUUGAGAGAAAAACUAGAAUAAGUGUACCAUGAAAAGAGCUUCACAUGGAGGAAGCAAAACCAAACUUCCUCCGUUCACUUUUUCCACCAUUUU
This 700-nucleotide long non-coding RNA is filed under the name Lathyrus oleraceus (garden pea). RNAcentral's name for it is "Pisum sativum (pea) long non-coding RNA (PSAT_LNC031786)". The record is from RNAcentral. Lineage: Eukaryota; Viridiplantae; Streptophyta; Magnoliopsida; Fabales; Fabaceae.